This 254-nucleotide ribosomal RNA is filed under the name uncultured bacterium. RNAcentral describes it as "partial 16S ribosomal RNA". It matches the Rfam family "Bacterial small subunit ribosomal RNA", at positions 524 to 776 of the family's 1533-position model. The record is from RNAcentral.
UACGUAGGGUGCAAGCGUUGUCCGGAAUUAUUGGGCGUAAAGAGCUCGUAGGCGGUUUGUCGCGUCUGCUGUGAAAACUGGGGGCUCAACCCCCCAGCCUGCAGUGGGUACGGGCAGACUAGAGUGCGGUAGGGGAGAUUGGAAUUCCUGGUGUAGCGGUGAAAUGCGCAGAUAUCAGGAGGAACACCGGUGGCGAAGGCGGGUCUCUGGGCCGAUAUCGACGCUGAGGAGCGAAAGCGUGGGGAGCGAACAGG